RNAcentral lists this ribosomal RNA (279 nucleotides) under uncultured bacterium. RNAcentral's name for it is "partial 16S ribosomal RNA". It matches the Rfam family "Bacterial small subunit ribosomal RNA", at positions 506 to 784 of the family's 1533-position model. The record is from RNAcentral.
UGCCAGCCGCCGCGGUAAUACGGAGGGUGCAAGCGUUGUUCGGAUUUAUUGGGCGUAAAGCGAGUGUAGGCGGUUUGACAAGUCGGGUGUGAAAGCCCAGGGCCCAACCCUGGAACUGCAUCCGAUACUGUCAGGCUAGAGUCCCGGAGAGGAUGGCGGAAUUCCCGGUGUAGGGGUGAAAUCCGUAGAUAUCGGGAGGAACACCAGUGGCGAAGGCGGCCAUCUGGACGAGUAUUGACGCUGAGGCGCGAAAGCGUGGGGAGCGAACAGGAUUAGAUA